GAUGAACGCUAGCGGCAGGCUUAAUACAUGCAAGUCGAGGGGCAACAGGGGUAGCAAUACCUGCUGGCGACCGGCAAACGGGUGCGGAACACGUACAGAACCUUCCUUUAAGUUGGAGAUAGCCCGGAGAAUCCGGAUUAAUACCUAAUAGUAUUAUGGUGUGGCAUCACAUUAUAAUUAAAGCCUUGGCGCUUAGAGAUGGCUGUGCGUAUGAUUAGGUAGUUGG
This 226-nucleotide ribosomal RNA is filed under the name uncultured bacterium. Its description in RNAcentral is "partial 16S ribosomal RNA". It matches the Rfam family "Bacterial small subunit ribosomal RNA", at positions 28 to 252 of the family's 1533-position model. The record is from RNAcentral.